RNAcentral lists this ribosomal RNA (1236 nucleotides) under human gut metagenome. Its description in RNAcentral is "bacterial SSU rRNA". It matches the Rfam family "Bacterial small subunit ribosomal RNA", at positions 274 to 1520 of the family's 1533-position model. The record is from RNAcentral.
CUUCGAUGGAUAGGGGUUCUGAGAGGAAGGUCCCCCACAUUGGAACUGAGACACGGUCCAAACUCCUACGGGAGGCAGCAGUGAGGAAUAUUGGUCAAUGGGCGAGAGCCUGAACCAGCCAAGUAGCGUGAAGGAUGACUGCCCUAUGGGUUGUAAACUUCUUUUAUAAAGGAAUAAAGUCGGGUAUGCAUACCCGUUUGCAUGUACUUUAUGAAUAAGGAUCGGCUAACUCCGUGCCAGCAGCCGCGGUAAUACGGAGGAUCCGAGCGUUAUCCGGAUUUAUUGGGUUUAAAGGGAGCGUAGAUGGAUGUUUAAGUCAGUUGUGAAAGUUUGCGGCUCAACCGUAAAAUUGCAGUUGAUACUGGAUGUCUUGAGUGCAGUUGAGGCAGGCGGAAUUCGUGGUGUAGCGGUGAAAUUCUUAGAUAUCACGAAGAACUCCGAUUGCGAAGGCAGCCUGCUAAGCUGCAACUGACAUUGAGGCUCGAAAGUGUGGGUAUCAAACAGGAUUAGAUACCCUGGUAGUCCACACGGUAAACGAUGAAUACUCGCUGUUUGCGAUAUACGGCAAGCGGCCAAGCGAAAGCGUUAAGUAUUCCACCUGGGGAGUACGCCGGCAACGGUGAAACUCAAAGGAAUUGACGGGGGCCCGCACAAGCGGAGGAACAUGUGGUUUAAUUCGAUGAUACGCGAGGAACCUUACCCGGGCUUAAAUUGCACUCGAAUGAUCCGGAAACGGUUCAGCUAGCAAUAGCGAGUGUGAAGGUGCUGCAUGGUUGUCGUCAGCUCGUGCCGUGAGGUGUCGGCUUAAGUGCCAUAACGAGCGCAACCCUUGUUGUCAGUUACUAACAGGUUCCGCUGAGGACUCUGACAAGACUGCCAUCGUAAGAUGUGAGGAAGGUGGGGAUGACGUCAAAUCAGCACGGCCCUUACGUCCGGGGCUACACACGUGUUACAAUGGGGGGUACAGAGGGCCGCUACCACGCGAGUGGAUGCCAAUCCCUAAAACCCCUCUCAGUUCGGACUGGAGUCUGCAACCCGACUCCACGAAGCUGGAUUCGCUAGUAAUCGCGCAUCAGCCACGGCGCGGUGAAUACGUUCCCGGGCCUUGUACACACCGCCCGUCAAGCCAUGGGAGCCGGGGGUACCUGAAGUGCGUAACCGCGAGGAUCGCCCUAGGGUAAAACUGGUGACUGGGGCUAAGUCGUAACAAGGUAGCCGUACCGGAAGGUGCGGCUG